AAAGCAACUCUGAAGACUAAUACAACUGACCAUAGCUUCUUUACUUUCCACCAUUCUCCUAUUUCCUAAUGAAACCUGUGCUAACACAGAGCAAGUGCUUGCACCCCCAUUCCCCACACCCAUCAACUGCUGUGGACUUCCAAGGUGGCUCCCAGAUAGCUGUGGCUGAUGUCAACAUCAGAAGGCCCAUCCUAGUUACAGCUCUACAAUGAUCAAACAUUCCAAAGGGUACAGAGGCAAAGUCCCAACCAUAAUUCUACAACGAUCAAAUUGAUCUUAGAUGUCAGGCAAGCCAGGUUACUCUUCUAGACUCCACUUUUACAUCUGUAAGGUGGGAAUAACAUUACCUGUUCCCUACCUGGUUCCCAAAGACCAAUAAAUGAGGAUUUAUGAGACAAUCUCCUAAGAGCUUCUUCAUCCAACAUGGCUUGCAAGGUCACUUUGAAUUUUGUUCCUGACUUGAGGUAUUUCUAACCACGAUGAACUUCUUGACAUCUGCAAACUUAACGGAGCAUAGAAGAGUAAGAAACUAAGCAAAGAAAUUAAGUGAUUUAUCCAAACUCCUACAACUACAUGAAAUGACAGGCAUUGAUCUAGAACCCAGGUCUCCUAACUUAGUACAAUGUUGUUUCCUCUAGAAGGCACUGCUUUGUCGAAUGAUUCUGAAGGAUGUGAAAUGAAAAACAAAGAGCCAAUUAAAACAAGAUUUUCUCAUAAAGUUCUCAAUA
Long non-coding RNA from Phascolarctos cinereus (koala), 728 nucleotides. RefSeq lists it as uncharacterized. NCBI's taxonomy places the organism in Eukaryota, Metazoa, Chordata, Mammalia, Diprotodontia, Phascolarctidae. The record is from RefSeq and is a predicted model, not a curated record.